RNAcentral lists this long non-coding RNA (3319 nucleotides) under Olea europaea subsp. europaea. Lineage: Eukaryota; Viridiplantae; Streptophyta; Magnoliopsida; Lamiales; Oleaceae. The record is from RNAcentral.
AUCAUUAUCCAUGCUUUCGAUUUGAACAAAUUUACUCAAAAUAUUGACUGCAUGCAACAACAUGAACCAGAUUACUAUACUAAGCAAGAACUUAAAAUUUUGAAGUUUAUAUGUAGCUAAGAACUCAACUUUACUUUUUAUUUAAAGAUCUUCGUUAAUUUUUGCCAAGUCUAAUGAAACGUCUCUUAUUUUAAAUAAAUAAAUCGAAUACGACCUAUGUGAUAAAAAAGUUGAGUAGAAUUAAGAAAUCACUGCAAUAUGAGUUUGAAAAAUCCUAUGCCACUUGCACUUUUUUGUUGUAUUUGAAAUGAGCCUAAUUUAUAAAUGAAAUUCCCACAAUGAAAAGAUGUAUUGUGCCUUAUUUAUAAAUGGAGUGGAAUGGACCUAAUUUAUCAAAGUUUUAAUUUAAAAAAAAAUAAUAGUAGUGAACCUAAUCUACCAAAAAAAGGAUGAAAUAGGUUAAAAUCUGAGGCCCCCUCUAAUAUUGGGCUUGAGGCAUGUGCCUCACUUGCCUCUAUAUGGAACCGGCCAUGGGAGAUUUUAUGUAACCCUUUUACCUAUAUUUAAUUUUUAGGCAACCUUAUUCUUCAUUGUAAGUUGGACCUUACCUGAUUUGACUAUGGAAAUGUUGUUGAACUUCUCUUCUCAUGCAUGUACUCCAACCCAUUAGACAACAAAGCCAAAAAAGGACUCUUGGGACUUAAUUUUGUUUGUAGUUUCCUUCUUUUUAAAUCUUGGAACUAUUUCAUGAAUCUAAACUACAUAUAAGUUGUCAUGCUUGCAAGUCUAAGGAUCUUCGGUGCUCAAUUUGGGUAAUUUGAGCCUCUUAAUGACAUUUAUCUCCCGUGCGAUAUUACACUGAUGAGUAAUCUCUAUUGUGCAAGCUUCUUCUGCAAUGUCACAAUUACUGGAAAUUGGGUUGAAUUUAAAUUUGUUAAAGGCAACUAUCAUGAUAGUGUGCUAUCAUACACAUUGUGUUAACUUUCAUUAUUUGUUAGCCAAAGCACAAAUCAAACUCUAUGUUGAUAUCAUUCUUUGUAACCAUAUUGUAACAAAUGUCUUGCACACAAUGUGUUAUCAUACAUAUUCUGUUAAAUCACCUUUUUUGUACAAUAUAUGAUAACAUGAUUAAUUACACUUGCACUAUCUGGUUUUUGUAACAAUAUAAAACAUGUGUCAUGGAAUGUUACACUAACUAGAUGACAAUGAAAGGGACUUAAAAAGCAAAGGAUACUAUCAAAGUAAGAGUGCACCUAAGAAACAAGAUGUGCAAAGUGCAUAGAGUACAACCAUAGUAGAAAGACGUGUAAGGACUCACUGCCAUGGAAUCAAAUUUGAAAGAGGAAAAGAAGUUCGUAAAGUAUUAAACACGUUGAUAAGAAGUUGUUACAGAUGCUAGACUAUAGAUGGUUGGAUUUCUGUUUUAAUUUCUAAGGAGUUAAAUUCAUACCACCUUGUGUAUUCCAUAUGAAAAUAUUGAUUUGCAUGAAAGCUUAUUGUAAAAGAAUUUAUUUAUUUAUUUAUUUAUAUUUAUUUUAUUAUUUUUUUUUUUUUGUGUUCGAAAUGCAUGUUUACAAAGAUGGGAACAAGAUCAAUACGAUUUUUGGUAAAUUUCAAAUAGACAUAAAUAAUUAACAUAAUUUGUAGUAGGAUAGAUAUUAAUAUUAGAUGAAUAUUGACCAAUGAAUCAAAUAAUCCAUGAUGAUCUUUAUGGUAAUGGAAGACGUAUCAUGUCCCAUUCUCAUGAGAAAUCAGUGGAAACCUUGCAUAUUGGUUUCUAGAAAGUAUAAUACAUUUCAAAAUCCUCAAAAAAAAAAAACCAAAAUUACUAAUCAAUUUCAAUAUAAUGGGAAGCUUAAAUUCAUUAAUUAUUAUAUAAGAGAUGCUUCAUGAUUGCUGCACUAUACAAUGUAAUAUUCAUUAUGAUCAAGGUAUCAUAAAUUACAUUGUCACCAAAAAUACGGGUAAGAUGAAUGUAUAAAAAUGAGUAAAUUUUCAUAAUUUAUAAAAAAAAAACAUAUGAUGUGUUUUUAUAUCUAGAAUUACAAAUAUUAUGUCAAAAAAAUCUUGUGAAGUCCAUGACAUUGUAGAAAAUCAAACCAUUGCAAGUUUUCAUUUUAAGUAAGUUUGAAUUUCCAUGAUUUUUAUAAUCAAACUAUUAAUCAGGUGAUUGAUUUAUUAAUAUGCAAAUUCAUGGCUAUUGCCAUGUUUCAGUUACAAAAAAUCAGAGAAAUUUAAGAUGAUAGUAAUUUCAAUUUAAUUAGUAAUAACACCUAGUAUUUAUAGCAUAUAAAUUAGUGUGUAGUAUUUUAUGAAUUAUUUUGUUUUUCUUGGUUAGAUGUGAUUUUGCAUAGCUGGAACCACAAAGUUUUAAACAAUAAGUUUGGAGUCAGACAAUUACUGGAACAGUUGUUGAUGAUAAGCUAGGAAUUCGACCAGACAUGCAAUUCUCCUUAACUUCCGUCUCUUCCAAUGUGUAUAAAAUCUAUCCUCUGUAAAAUUGCAUAAAUUAGCAGUGCUAUCUCUUUAGCUUUAAGCCCAAAUCAAGUAUAAAGUAAAAUCAAUCCAAAUGCUCUCAAUUAAGUUCACCAUUCUCUAAUUAUCUAAUCUUAUCCCCCUCAGCAAUACACAACAUCCAAUUAUUGGAAGCAAUUCAAUUCACAAAUACUGGAAGCAAUUCACAUAGCUAAUCUCAUCCCCCUCAGUACAACAUCCAAUUAAGUUCACCAAUAUUUAAUGAUCUAAUCUCUAUUCUCUUGUGUCUAAGUUUUAAGUCCUAACUUAUUAAUACAUGAUUUUAUAUCAAAUACAAGACUCUAGAAAAUAUUGAUAGAACUUGAUUUUCAAUUCAACGUAUAUUAGAAAGAAAAGAUUGAAACAUUAAACAAAUCAAAAUAACACAUAAAAAGAAAAAAGAAAUAAGAUGGUUUCGGGGGCUUCACCUUCUUCUUCUGCACUUGUGCUGUCAUCUGUCGGAUCGUCGUUGGAAUCGAAGGUGUCCACCUUCUAGGGCUCAAAAAUGAAAAGGAAGUGCAAGAGAUUCAGAGAUAGUAGGAGGCUGAGAAACGAGAGACUUUCUAGAAUGUAGCUUCUUCACCUUUUUUCAAACAAGAAUAGCUUAUAGCCGACUGGAUGAAGACGGCGCCAGCAUCGAGUGAGACUGUCUGUGGUAGUUCGUUUGUGUUUGUGAGAGUUUGAGAGAGAGAUUCAAAGGCGAAGGGCAGAACUGGAACGAACGGGUGAGAGUUGAAAGGAUAUUGGAUUGGAUUGGAAUUGGGUUUCUCUUAGGCUGGGCUAAUACUUUAAAAAAAGGGCAACU